AUUCCGGUUGAUCCUGCCGGAGGUCAUUGCUAUUGGAGUCCGAUUUAGCCAUGCUAGUUGUACGAGUUUAGGCUCGUAGCAGAUAGCUCAGUAACACGUGGCCAAACUACCCUAUGGAUCCAGACAACCUCGGGAAACUGAGGCUAAUCUGGAAUACGACUCUCAUCCUGGAGUGGAGAGAGUCCGAAACGCUCCGGCGCCAUAGGAUGUGGCUGCGGCCGAUUAGGUAGACGGUGGGGUAACGGCCCACCGUGCCAGUAAUCGGUACGGGUUGUGAGAGCAAGAGCCCGGAGACGGUAUCUGAGACAAGAUACCGGGCCCUACGGGGCGCAGCAGGCGCGAAACCUUUACACUGCACGCCAGUGCGAUAAGGGGACUCCAAGUGCGAGGGCAUAUAGUCCUCGCUUUUUGCGACCGUAAGGUGGUCGCGGAAUAAGUGCUGGGCAAGACCGGUGCCAGCCGCCGCGGUAAUACCGGCAGCACGAGUGAUGACCGCUGUUAUUGGGCCUAAAGCGUCCGUAGCUGGCCGCGCAAGUCUAUCGGGAAAUCUCUUCGCUUAACGGAGAGGCGUCCGGUGGAAACUGUGUGGCUUGGGACCGGAAGACUAGAGGGGUACGUCUGGGGUAAGGA
This 630-nucleotide ribosomal RNA is filed under the name uncultured haloarchaeon. Its description in RNAcentral is "bacterial SSU rRNA". It matches the Rfam family "Archaeal small subunit ribosomal RNA", at positions 1 to 632 of the family's 1478-position model. Lineage: Archaea; Methanobacteriati; Methanobacteriota; Halobacteria; Halobacteriales; Halobacteriaceae. The record is from RNAcentral.